GAUGAACGCUGGCGGCGUGCCUAAUACAUGCAAGUCGAGCGAACAGACGAGGAGCUUGCUCCUCUGACGUUAGCGGCGGACGGGUGAGUAACACGUGGAUAACCUACCUAUAAGACUGGGAUAACUUCGGGAAACCGGAGCUAAUACCGGAUAAUAUAUUGAACCGCAUGGUUCAAUAGUGAAAGACGGUUUUGCUGUCACUUAUAGAUGGAUCCGCGCCGCAUUAGCUAGUUGGUAAGGUAACGGCUUGCCAAGGCAACGAUGCGUAGCCGACCUGAGAGGGGGAUCGGCCACACUGGAACUGAGACACGGUACAGACUCCUACGGGAGGAAGCAGUAGGGAAUCUUCGGCAAUGGGCGAAAGCCUGACGGAGCAACGCCGCGUGAGUGAUGAAGGUCUUCGGAUCGUAAAACUCUGUUAUUAGGGAAGAACAAAUGUGUAAGUAACUAUGCACGUCUUGACGGUACCUAAUCAGAAAGCCACGGCUAACUACGUG
This 497-nucleotide ribosomal RNA is filed under the name uncultured bacterium. RNAcentral describes it as "partial 16S ribosomal RNA". It matches the Rfam family "Bacterial small subunit ribosomal RNA", at positions 28 to 507 of the family's 1533-position model. The record is from RNAcentral.